RNAcentral lists this transfer RNA (808 nucleotides) under Bradyrhizobium japonicum. RNAcentral describes it as "partial contains 16S-23S ribosomal RNA intergenic spacer and 23S ribosomal RNA". The stretch from base 140 to 213 matches the Rfam family "tRNA". The record is from RNAcentral. Lineage: Bacteria; Pseudomonadati; Pseudomonadota; Alphaproteobacteria; Hyphomicrobiales; Nitrobacteraceae.
AUCAGUGGCCAACAAUCGUCAGGAUUGUUGAGCUGCAUUGGCGGGAUUUCGCCGUCUUCGUUUCUCUUUCUUCGCGGACGAACACGCGCUGGGGCUGCAAGUUUGCAGAGUCCCUGGUCCUUGACUGGAUAUGCGUUAGGGGCUUGUAGCUCAGUUGGUUAGAGCGCGCGCUUGAUAAGCGUGAGGUCGGAAGUUCAAGUCUUCCCAGGCCCACCACUUUCAUCGAGUGAGCAUUCGUCUUCUGGUUACGGGGCCAUAGCUCAGCUGGGAGAGCGCGUGCUUUGCAAGCAUGAGGUCGUCGGUUCGAUCCCGUCUGGCUCCACCAGAUGGUUUGAUCAUCGACUGAUCGUGCACCUAAAUCGUCCGCGAAACAUCACUUCGCAUCUUGCUAGUCUGGAUAGACAGCAAGUUGCGUGAUUUCUGACAUCGUAAAGAGGAGAUCGAUCCGAGUUGGAUCGUGCAGCAAGCAAUUGCUACGCGAGACUUCAUUAUCUCCGGAUCAUUUCGGCGCUCGUGCGUCUUUCAAGGGCAGCUCACAAGGCUGCUUCUGGAGAGACAAGCGAGUUGUAAAUGAUCCUUUUAGCGAAGCUUGACCGCCUCGCUAUCGGAACGAUCUUACGAAGCAAGCUGGUCUUUCUAAUCAUUGUCCGGCUGCAGAUAGCGUUCAUCGAGGGCGCGUGCCGCAAGGCAGUUCUGCAGACAACAUUCUGCCGAGUGUGUGGACAUUGAUAAUGAGAGCAAUCAAGUGCCUUAAGGGUGUUCGGUGGAUGCCUUGGCGCUGAGAGGCGAUGAAGGACGUGCUACGCUG